UGCACUCUAGGGGGGAAAGGGCGAGAGGGUCACAGACCGGGGGCUGUCCUGGGGGGACCAGGGACUGUAAGCUCUCCCCGGGGCCCUGGGAAGCACAGAGGUGGCUGCCACAUGGGGUGGUGUCCAGGGGGGGACACCCCAGUAGUGCCACCUGCACAGGGACUGUGACCACCUGCAGGCCACGUGAGUACCAGGACCGGGAGCGACUUCCGGACCUCCCAGCCCCAGUCUGGAACCCUAAGGGAGAUGAAAGACCACCAGGGAUCCCUGUCUGCCUGGUGCUUGGGACACGGGGAGCGCCAGAGACUUCCACUGUGCCCAGCAGGCCGGCGGGUGCUUUGGGUGUGGGCAGCAUGGAGGGGCAGCAGAGGCAGCACUGGCGUGCGUGCUUUGAACUUGAUUUUGUGUUUAUCACGGAAUUUGUGUGUGUGUGUUAAUUUUUUCUUUUUCUUUUUUUUUUUUUUUUUUUUUUUUGAGAUGGAGUCUCACUCUGUCACCCAGGCUGGAGUGCAGUGGUAUGAUCUCAGCUCACAACCUCCACCUCCCAGGUUCAAGCGAUUCUCCUGCCCCUGCCUCCCGAGUAGCUGGGACUACAGGCGCCCGCCACCACGCCCGGGUAAUUUUUGUAUUUCUCAUAGAGAUGGGGUUUCACCAUCUUCGUCAGGCUGGUCUUGAACUCCUGACCUCAAGUGAUCCAGCCGCCUCGGCCUCCCAAAGUGCUGCGAUUACAGGCGGGAGCCACGCACCCGGCCUAUUUUUUCUCUUUUUUCUUUUUUUUUGAGACAGAAUCUCGCUCUGCAGUGCUGUGGUGCGAUCUCAGCUCACUGCAACCUCUGCCUCCCGGAUUCAAACGAUUCUCCUCUCUUAGCCUCCCGAGAGGAUUGCUUGAGCCCAGGAGGUCGAGGCUGCAAUGAGCCGUGAUCGCACCACUGCCCUCCAGCCUGGGCAGUAGAGAGAGACUCUCUCUCCAAAAAAAAAAAAAAAAAAAAAAACAUACAUCUACGACCUCACCCCCAGAACCUAUGACGAUAACCUUAUUUGGAAUGAGGGUGGAUCUGUCUGCUGGGACUGCCAUAAAAAAGUCCCACAGCCUGGUGGCUUCAGAAAAAAGGAAUUUGGCCGGGCACGGUGGCUCACGCCUGUAAUUCCCGCACUUUGGGAGGCCAGGGCGGGCGGAUCACCUGAGGUCGGGAGUAUGAGACCAGCCUGGCCAACAUGGCCAGAAAGCCCGUCUCUCCUGUAGAUCUGUGACCUUACCCCCAACCCUGUGCUCUCUGAAACAUGUGCCGUAUCCACUCAGGGUUGAAUGGAUUAAGGGCGGUGCAAGAUGUGCUUUGUUAAACAGAUGCUUGAAGGCAGCAUGCUCGUUAAGAGCCAUCACCACUCCCUAAUCUCAAGUACCCAGGGACACAAACACUGCGGAAGGCCGCAGGGUCCUCUGCCUAGGAAAACCAGAGAACUUUGUUCACUUGUUUAUCUGCUGACCUUCCCUCCACUAUUGUCCUGUAACCCUGCCAAAUCCCCCUCUGCAAGAAACACCCAAGAAUGAUCAAUAAAAAAAUAAAAAUUAAAAAAAAAAAAAGAAAAUUUUAUAAAGAAAAAAAAAAAAUACAAACAUUAGCCGGGCGUGGUGGCGGGCGCCUGUCAUCCCAGCUACUCAGGAGGCUGAGGCAGGAGAAUGGCCUGAACCUGGGAGGCGGAGGUUGCAGUGCGCCAAGAUCACGCCACUGCACUCCAGCCUGGCGACAGAGUGAGACUCCAUCUCAGAAAAAGAGGGAAAAAAAAAAAAAAGAAAGAAAAAAGGAAUUGAUUCUCCCACAGUCCUGGAAGCUGCAGGUCCAAGAUCAAGAGAUGGGCAUGGGCAGGGGCUGGUUCCUCCUGAGGCCUCUCUCCUGGGCUUGCAGACCCCGUCUUCUCCCUGUGUGCUCACAGGGUCGCCCUCUGUGUGUGUCUGUGUCCUCAUCUCCUCUUUUUAUGAGAUGUCUUAGUCCAUCUCAGGCUGCUAUCACAGAAUACCAUAGACUGGGUGACUUAUAAACAACAGACAUUGAUUCUCCCACAGCCCUGGAGGCUGGAAGUCUGAGAUCCAGUUGUGGACAGGGCUGGUUCCUCCUGAGGCCUCUCUCCUGGGCUUGGAGACGCCGUCUUCUCCCUGCAGCCUCACAGGGUUGUCCCUCCAUGUGUGUCUGUGUCCUCAUCUCCUUUUUAUGAGAUGUCUUAGUCCAUUUCAGGCUGCUAUCACAGAAUACCACAGACUAGGCAGCUUAUAAACAAAACACACUGAUUCUCCCACAGCCCUGGAGGCUGGAAGUCUGAGAUCCAGGUGUGGACAGGGCUGGUUCCUCCUGAGGCCUCUCUCCUGGGCUUGGAGACACCGUCUUCUCCCUGUGUCUUCACAGGGUUGUCCCUCCAUGUGUGUCUGUGUCCUCAUCUCCUUUUUAUGAGAUGUCUUAGUCCAUUUCAGGCUGCUAUCACAGAAUACCACAGACUAGGCAGCUUAUAAACAAAACACACUGAUUCUCCCACAGCCCUGGAGGCUGGAAGUCUGAGAUCCAGGUAUGGGCAGGGCUGGUUCUUCCUGAGGCCUCUCUCCUGGGCUUGGAGACGCCGUCUUCUCCCUGCAGCCUCACAGGGUCGUCCCUCUGUGUGUCUGUGUCCUCAUGUCUUCUGAGGACCCCAGUCCUGUUAGAUUAUGGCCCACCCUACUGACCUCAUUUUACCUUAAUUGCCUCUUUAAACACCCCAACUCCAAACACAGUGACAUUCUGAGGUCCUGGGCGAUCAAAGCUUCAACACACGAAUUUUCAGGGAACACAAUUCAAGCGAUUCUCCUGCCUCAGCCUCCCUGGUAGCUGGGGUUACAGGCUUAAGCCACAGCACCCGACCUAAUUUUUGUAUUUUUAGUAGAGACAGGGUUUUUCUACGUUGGCCAGGCUGAUCUCGAACUCCUGACCUCAGGUGAUAUACCCACCUCAGCCUCCCAAUGUGCUGGGAUGACAGGCGUGAGCCACCGUGCCGGGCCAGAAGUUCUACUCUGAGGCGAUCCUUUUGUUUUGUUGUUGAGAUGGAGUCUCGCUCUGUCGCCCAGGCUGGAGUGCACUGGCGCGAUCUGGGCUCACUGCAAGCUCCGCCUCCCGGGUUCACGCCAUUCUCCCGCCUCAGCCUCCCGAGUAGCUGGGACUACAGGCGGCCAUCACCACGCCUGGCUAAUUUGUUACAUUUUUUGUAGAGACGGGGUUUCACCGUGUUAGCCGGGAUGGUCUCGAUCUCCUGACCUUGUGAUCCUCCCGCCUCGGUCUUUAUUACAAGGCCCAGGGGGUGUCUGUCAGUGGGACGACCUUGUUUCCCCUCCACGUCUCCUCUCGUGAGUAAGAGCAAGGAUUGAGUAGCUGGAAGGAGGUUCUGUCUCUGACCUGUGGUUUGAAAGAAAAUAAAGAAGAGGGGCCAGAUGGAGUCUCACUCUGUCGCCCAAGCUGCAGUGCAAUGGCACGAUCUCAACUCACUGCAACCUCCGCCUCCCGGGUUCAAGCGAUUCUCCUGCCUCAGCCUCCCGAGUAGCUGGGAUUACAGGCGCCCGCCACCACCACAUCUGGGUGCUGUGAUUACAGGCGUGAGCCACCGCGCCCAGCGACUCUCUCAUUCUGUCUUGCCCGCUGACGUGUAAGACAUGCCUUUGCUCCUCCUUCACCUUCUGCCGUGAUCGUGAGGCCUCCCCAGCCACAUGGAACUAUACUUCAAAUUACUUCUAUGCAUUUGGAGAGCGGGAGAGAAAAACACCAGGAAGGAAGAGGGAACAAAGAAACUCUACAGGCAGAGACACAGGACUGAGCCGUGUUGGGGGCACUGGGGGGAGUGAGCCUUGGGGUUGCACCCUCGGAGCCCCACUGUCCUGGGAGCAGCCUUCAGAACCACCCUUUUGUUCUCUGAAGUACCAGGCGUUCAGCUUUUCCGAGGACUGGCGGCUGCACGUCUUUGUCCCUGCCCCCUCCAUCUCUCGGCUCAGCCCCGUUGGGCAGCCUGGCCCACUCCCCACCCCUGCCCAGGGCCAACCCCUACUUCCCAUGCCUCCUCUGCCCACCUGCAGCGCACUGGAGCCUUGGAGGCCCUCUCUGCGUCAUUCAAGAUGGGCCCCCCCGCCCCGGAGACUCCUACACUUUGACCUGCACACAUCCUCCUGAAGCUUCCACUUCCUGGCCCCUGCCUGGCUUCUCACCUCCCCCACCUCAGCCCCCCAGGGGAUGUCCCGCCUCUCCCAGUGGCCCAGGACAUCCUCCACUUCCCGGGAACCCCAGGCACUUCCACAUCCUCAGACACAGUGAGAAGAUGACCCUCUCUCCAAGCCAGGCAGAGACCUCCUGAGGAGCCCAGCCAGCCAGCACCCUGACCUCCAACGUCCAGCCUCUAGAAAUGUGAGAGGCCAACGUCUGUGUUGGGAGCCACGUGGUCCCGUGGGAUCUGGCCUGACGCUAAAGCCGUGGUAUCACAGAACUGAGGGUGGGAGGGAGUGUCCUGGGCUACUCACCAAUCUG
Gorilla gorilla gorilla (western lowland gorilla) is the source of this 4529-nucleotide long non-coding RNA. RefSeq lists it as uncharacterized. The transcript is spliced from 6 exons. NCBI's taxonomy places the organism in Eukaryota, Metazoa, Chordata, Mammalia, Primates, Hominidae. The record is from RefSeq and is a predicted model, not a curated record.